ACACCCAUCAAGCCUGGCUUGGUAUUGGGCGACGGGACUUCCCCGCGCCCCGAUUUCGCCGGCUGGACGACCCCGAUCUCUCAAGCGUUGUACAAUCUCGCUGGUGGGAGGGGCGGCCACGCCGUUAACCUUAAUCAAUUCA
RNAcentral lists this unclassified non-coding RNA (142 nucleotides) under uncultured Capnodiales. RNAcentral's name for it is "sequence contains ITS2". The record is from RNAcentral. Lineage: Eukaryota; Fungi; Ascomycota; Dothideomycetes; Capnodiales.